CAAGAAGUACAUAUGUUAAGGUCAGCUCCCCUUUCUUUAUCAGUUUCUUCAUUUUCUUCACUGCUUUGUUCCUCUUCCUCAGGAUUCUCAAAGGAUUAAAGCCCACCUGCCACAAAGUGAACAAUUAAUUGGAUCUGUCAGCACUUACAACUGAGCCCUGAAGACCACAGUGAGGAGCUCCAGUCCAAGACCAACAGCAAGUCCUAAGUCCAGCCCCAAGAAUAUAGCUGCCAAACAGGUCCCCACCCAAACAAUCUGGAGGAAAAUGACAGAGGGGGACAUUACACCGAGUAUAGAAAUCAGUGAUAUACCAUUGGACAGAGAGAGAAGUCAAAGACUCUUACGCAGUCAGGACGGUCUUUCUUCCACAGG
Carassius carassius (crucian carp) is the source of this 372-nucleotide long non-coding RNA. RefSeq lists it as uncharacterized. The record is from RefSeq and is a predicted model, not a curated record. Lineage: Eukaryota; Metazoa; Chordata; Actinopteri; Cypriniformes; Cyprinidae. The transcript is spliced from 3 exons.